RNAcentral lists this long non-coding RNA (1016 nucleotides) under Olea europaea subsp. europaea. Lineage: Eukaryota; Viridiplantae; Streptophyta; Magnoliopsida; Lamiales; Oleaceae. The record is from RNAcentral.
CAUAGAAUUAAACAAAUGACGUAGAAUUAUAACUUUUAUCAUCCCAACAAAUGACGUUCUAAUGCUGAAAUUUAAAUGGAUAAGCCAAAUUAAUAGAGCAAUCAUGUUUGAAGGUCUGUAAAUAUCAAGAUGUGCAAAUUUCUUGCUUUAGAGCCAUCACUAUUAGCCCUAAAGUUUCAGCAAAUAUACCCAUGUGAUCAACUGAUAAUCACAAGUCGAGCACCCAGGAGCAAAAUCUUCUAUAUCUAUUGUAUAACCUGAAACAUAAAAGCAACAGUAUCAAAAAGUUAAGAAUUAACCUGUUUGAAGAGCACUUCUCCAGAAAAUGCAUGAUGUGCCUCCACUCAUUGCGGUGGAGAGGCCACGUGUAGUCGUCACCUUUCUCACGUGCCACACACCCAGUGACGCCUCCGCCCAUAUAGUACAGUUUCGGCCUCGUUUUACCAAACACCUUUUGGUUUGGCCGAAAAACGAGUUUGUAUGUUUGGGCAAUUGGGAAAAAACUUGAUCCGGUCGAUUUGGAAUUGAUUUUUGGUCUAGAAACUUCCACACUUGCUUCAAUACUAGAUCGUAGCGGAAUAUUUGAUCACUAAUGGUUUUUUUGAGCUUAGUAUCAAUCCAACCAAUCAACACCUCAAAGAAAUCGACCCAAAUCCACCCAACUAUCCCGACUUCGGUUGCUUUAGUAUUACCUACUUAGGACACAAGGUAAGGGAGUUAUUGCAGCCACGAAGACAUUUACAAAGUCAGAGAAAGAAACCUGACGACUUCUUCCUUCUUUUCUUGCUUUGCUAUCGCUUUAGUAGUCAAGAAUACCUCUUUCUUUUUGAAUGAAGAAGGCACGCUAAAGUAAAGCACAAAGCCAAGUGCCAUUUCACAAAGAAGGAGAGGCAAUAACAAACGGUCACACAAAAGCAAUGGAGGCAGUAAUGUAUAAUUAGGUAUAGUGAUGGGCCAAGCCUAAUAAAGAACCGAUAAGUGGGCCAAUCACUAAAUGGGUCGACACUUAUAAGCUG